RNAcentral lists this long non-coding RNA (6295 nucleotides) under Sus scrofa (pig). RNAcentral describes it as "lncRNA (ENSSSCG00055023607.1)". The record is from RNAcentral. Lineage: Eukaryota; Metazoa; Chordata; Mammalia; Artiodactyla; Suidae.
UUUUUUUUUUUUUUUUUUUUUUUUUUGCUGCCCAUAGCUAUUGUUCUCAGCUUACCUCUUCUGUAAUUCUCUUUCCUACAGAAGUAAUUUGUUUCUUUUACUUUUCAAGAUGGCUUCUAUUUUUUCUGCAUGCAAGUUCCAUAUUUAGUACAGUAUAGGGUGUAUAAGAUACUUUGUUUUUAGACUGAAAAGCUAUGGAAUCUGGUAGAUCCAGUAUAUCACUGGGACAUAUUUAUCUAAGCAGAAACAUGUUACCACAAAGACUUGGAUUUCUUUGCUUUGGAAAGGUUUUCAAUUGCAUCAGUGCUUUAAAAAUCAUCAUUGUGUUAUCAAAAGUGAGAAUGAGUGAUUUGUCAGAAAGAAAAAAAAUGUGUUCCAAGUAGACCUCAGGUGAUUUCCUUAAUCAUACGUUCAUAUUAUGGGCCUUUAAAAAAAAAUAAUCCGAAUGUUUUCACUGAAAACUAUGAAAAUGCAGUUGUAAGCUACUGUGUCAGUUAGGAAUUAGAGGUUCUUAGACCCAUGGUUUAUUCCAUAGCUGUGAGCACACUAAGUCUCCAUUCUAAAAUUUAUUUUGAUUAUAAUUAAGUAGAAGUAGAGCUUUUAACUACUUCACUGCUAGUUUUUGACACCAUCAGCUGUGGUUGAGUUUACCAAGAUCAGAUAAUAGACUACUUUAACAAAAUAUCUUUUUUUUUUGUUUUUCGAGAACUCUAAAAAAUGCAGGUACUUAAAGAUAGUUUAGUCAGUUUUUUCUUCAUUUACACAAAAUUAUAAUUUGGUUUUGGAAAACACCCUGAUUGGUUUUUUUCCUUAGUUUUACACCCCAGAAGAAAAAGUUUAGUCUGUAGAACCAGUUGAUGAGCUGAGUGUGUUUGUAAACAAUCCUACACUCGCAAGAGAAUUAAGAACACAGCCGUCUCAGUUGUGUGAUGGGCUUAGUUUGGGAUCAUGAACUAGACAGGAAAUUGUGGCUCUGUCUUUGCCCAGUUGUCAGCCACCUGCUACCCUUCGAACACAACAGUUUUCACUGAGAAAAUGUAAAUAGUCAGUGCCGGAUAUAUAUGUAAUAAUUGGAAAUACAACUCAGAAUAUACAGGUCACUAAUAGUAACAUCAUAAUUGCAUGAGUAAAUUGACAGAACACUGUGAAUUAACUAUAAUGGAAAAAAUAAAAAUAAAAAAUAAUUACAUGAGAAAAUGAGAUCAAUAUAUUAAUCCUAUAUGCAUGCAGGCAGAGCCAUUUAGAGUUUAUAUUAUAAACAAUGUGAUGAUUUUAUGAAAAUAAUUGCAUCUUGGGCAAACAAAAAUAUAUAUGGUCAUCCCUUGUUAUACAUGGGGGAUUGGUUCCAGGACUGGCCACAGAUUCCAAGAUCUGUGGAUCUGGUCCCUUAGUGUCAUCUCCACAAUGCUUGGUUCUGCAUUCAUGGAUUCAACCAAUCACAGUUUGUGCACUCUUCUAUGUAUUUACUGGAAAAAAACACAUUUGAAUGGACUCAUGUAGUUCAAACCCAUGUUGUUCAAGUGUCAACUGUAUACAUUUGUCACUAUGUUGAUAGACACUCAAACUCAGUAGUAUGGAUUUUUUUAAAUGGAACCCUGAGGAGCGGCCCCAGAAAAGGCAAAAAGACAAAAAAAAAAAUAAAAUAAAAGGAGGUCGAAACCUCAUUUUUAUAAUGUGCACUCAUAUUCAUAGUAGAAAUAUUAUAUAUUGUCUUUUACUCCCUGAUCAUUUACAUAAUAUCUUUACUGAUUUUACUGUGUCUCCCAGAAUGUAGCCAUUGACUUGCCUCUUAAGAUUUAGUUAAUUAGUUACCGCCUCAUUCCAUAGACGUUGAAAAGUUUGAACCCACUUCCCUCACCAUCCCCUGUCAAGAUUUCUUUGAGUUUCCAGGGUUCUUUUGGCCAUUUCGUGUUUUGGCUCCUUUUCCAACAGAAUCUUUAAUCUCAUUUGUAUGUUCCCUUCCAUACCUGUCCCUUUCUCUUCUGUCUGCACAAAUGUGAACAUGAGCCUCACACUCCUUUCCAAGAUUUUUGCAGAAAAAAAAAUCCUUCAGUGCCUUAUGAAUCUAGAGAUUCUGUUGAAAGAAGUUUUAGAAUCCCAGUAAUCCCAGUAAUUUAAAACUUAAACAUCCCUGUUCUUUAGGAUCUUACUGGCCAUCCCUUCUUCACAGACUCUGGGAUUUUGCAAAUUGCUGAUCUCUCUUUCUUUCUUGAAUCUCUGUAAUAUUUUUCAUAGAGAGGUUUAUCUCCACUGUCUCAUUUCUCUCCUGUCUCCCUUGCCCUCAAGUGGCUCAUAAAGAUGUUUACCUAAAUAAAGGCAGUUUCUUCCCCAAGAGACUCUGGGAUCAGCUGUUGCAAUAACACUUAUUUCCCCCACAAUAGAUACAUUUGUCAUGCAAAAUAUUGCCAUUCUCAGCCCGUGAGCUAUCAUUUCUCUGUGUUUCUUUAUCUUGGAGCACAUUGGCAGAUUUUUUGUUUCCAGUUACAGCAGGCUUUGAUUACUUUGGCCAUCUGUGCCAAGGCCAGAAGACAUUGGUCCUCACCCAUCCAGUGGCAAGGUAGGAGAGUCACCUUGGAUGCUCCUCAUGCUUUCCCACAUUAUGACACAUAUUCAAUAUGGAUAAGGCAUACUCACAAGAGUAAAUGAAUAAGGGUGUUAUGUGGCCAAAGAUGACUGUCCAAGGGCUCCAGCUGUUCUGUGGGCUCUGGCCACCCAGGCCCCAUCCACCCAACCCAGGACCAACAAGGAGAUCAGUAUGGAAGCAUGCCUUUAAACAGCAUGUGGCCACCAGUUGGGAAGCUCAGAAAUAUGGUAGUCUUACUCAAGCCAGGGAAAAUCAAAGCAGCUCCUUGUCUGUUUGGACCUGAAGUCUUUGUUUGGGACUUCUUAUGAUACUUUAAGGAGGUAUAAUUUCUCUUCUAUAUGAUUAAAUAUAUAUUGCAUUAAAGUAUAUUACCUCCCACUGUGGAACUCUUAAAAAUCCAAAUCCAAAAGCCUACCCUACAGUAACAGUGUUACUGGAUUGUAUUUCAUUAAUUCAUGUUUCCAAAUGUACUCUAUUAAGAUGCAAUCUAAAACUACCUUUAGUGUUUAUUAUUAUUUUAACAUUCUAGUCUUUGCUCCUUUUAAUUAGCUGGAUAAUUUGGAGGGGGGGUUUAGAACAUCUGGGGGAGAAUCACCUUUACACGUGGGUGGUUACUUCCAAAGCUUUUCAAAAGGCAUGGAAUAUGAUCGUUUUUUUUCAUUCAAUCAUUCAUUCAAGAAGUGGUGGCUGAAUGCCUGGUUUGUGCUAAGGAGAGAAAGGAGAAAAGUAUGUCAUAGUUACUUCUUCCAGGAACUAUGGGAACUAGAGUCCAGUGGAGAAACAGUUCUUGGAUACUUGAAACAUUGAUGUUAUGGAUAAAAGAGCUUAUAGUUGAUGACAAGAGUGAAAGAGGAACUCCCCUAAAAGUGUGCUCAGGGUGAGGAAGCUCUGUUAGGGGGUAAGGUUUAAUUUUAGCUGGUUCAUGUAGGAUGAAUUGGAUUUAGAAUAGCUAGAAAUGAGCUAUUCCAUGGAUUCUUGCAGAGUUCAGUUUGGUAUAAGAAAGGGUUUGUUUUCAAAUAAAAUAACUUCAGGAAGAUUGGUAAGCAUUGGAACUAAGAGUUUUUCUAAGUAAAACUGUAUUUAUUUUCAUGAAAGAGAGGGCAAAAUAAAGAAGAAAUGAUCAGUGAUGUUGGCAUAAUUCUUGUGUAAAACGAUCCAGCAUAAUGUAGGCACUAAAUAUUGGCAAAGGAUCAGGUGUUAACUGUUCAGAUGGGUGGUUAUUGUUCUGAUAAUGAAGAAUAAGUGUCUCAAAAUUGUUGCCUACUAAGAGGGCAGAAAUAGGAAUAAUGUGCAUUUUUAAGACCCUGUAAAUAUUUUAUUUGUUCAUAACCAGCACCUUUAUUGAAAGGAAACACUUUUGCUAUUUUGUGACAAUUUAUCUUAUUAGACAUGCAACAAGAUCUGACUGAUGACCAGAAAAGUAAGGGUUGUCCUUCUGUCUUCUCAUCCCACCUCAGAGUGACCCAUUAGAGAUUACUUUUCUUUUUUUCUUCAAGAUUGCUUUAGAGCUUGCAGUAGAAAUGACAUAAAACUGUGAUUUUUGAGUUCCUCUGGGCCAAGCAGCCAGGAGCAGUUUCAAUUUCUAGAAAGAAGCAAGGCUGAAUUCUUGUUGGUUUUUUUUCUUGAGUGUGCUGUUCUGGAAUAAAUUCUUCUCAUGAGUUUUAAAAAUUAGUCUGUAUGUGAAAGUUGCCCAAGAAUUAGAGGAUAGAGGGGCCAGAAGGGGAAAGAAGAAACACAAAACAGCCUAGCUAUUCUACUGUUGUUGUUGUAAUCAAUAGAAUAACUCAACAAUGGCAAAUAUUCUUUGUGCCGAUUGAAAAGAAAUGGACUCUUUUACUAUUGAGCAGGUUAUGCUUGUGUAUGAAGUUUUGCAAUUGAAACUUUAAAUUGUUCACACAAGGACCGGUUAUUCAAUUUAUAAAGCAGUCACUUAGAUAACUUAUCUCAUUCUUUAAAUGUUUUAUACCUACUUACCAGCUAAGCUACCCUGGUGUACAUGGGUAGCUAUACCUCUUCUUUCGCUGCUUGCCUUUCCCCCCACAUCUUCAUGUACUGUGAUCAUCUUUCCAAGCCAAAACAUCUAGAUUUCCUCAUCCUUAUGAAUGGCAUGGCAAUAUUGGAUGGAACAGAAUGGAUGUGUCACAAUUUAUUCAAGGAGUUUCCUUUAACAAAGUGCAGGAAAACUUAUCAGUGCUCAUAAUUAAAUUAGAAUUGGAGAAGGCAUUUACUAUUUGAUUUAUUUAAAGAAUUCCACAAGCCCUAGCAGGGGUGUGUGUGUGUGUGUGUGUGUGUGUGAAUUAGAAAUGGCAUGCAACAUUUUUCAAAUAGAAAAUCCUUUGCUAAAGUUACCCAUAAAGGGCAAAAUACAUUCUGUCUUUACGGAUCCACACACAAGACAAAAGCCUUCUAUGGUCUGCAUAAAGUCUCCUGCAGCUUGGGCUGGCCUCCAUUCUUUUUUUAAGGAGAAAUCUGAUUUUGAUGGUUCCAUUGCCCUUCUUCUCUGUGCGUAUAAGAUUAUGGUGGACUAGGUGGAACCUAACAAAAAGAUAGAAAUGAACUUAUUUGCAGAACAGAAACAGACUCGAAGACUUUGAAAAACUUAUGAUUACCGAAGAGGACAGGUGGGGAGGGGAGGGAGGUAUGGACUAGGGGUUUAGAAUAUUGGAAAUAUUCUAAAAUUAGGUUGUCAUGAUGGUUGUACAACUAUAAAUAUAAUACAAUUCAUUGAAUUAUUAAAAAAUGAAGUAAAAUUAUGGCGGAGCUUUAGCUUCCUAACUGCUCUCCGUAUUCACCGAGGGAUCAGCUCCUUCCCUAUUCUCCUGGAGUUGGCAGGCAUCGUGGGCAUGUUUGGGUGUCCUGAAGAUCUGCACCAGCUCUCUUCUCUUUAAGAUUAAUUUUGCUGCUUUAUUGUAAGUAGAACUGGAACUACUCUUCUGUAAGGUGUGGUGCAGGACUUGGUCCUGUUUUCAGAGAAUCUUCCAUCCUUGCUUUCUUCCCUCAUUUUGAACACACCUUGAUGUUUUGGUCUGCCUGAUUAUAACGAUACUAAAUUAUUUUAUUUUACCUAUGUGGAUCAAAAAUUUCCAGUUCAUUUAUUCACAUCUCUGCAAAUAUUGCUGUAUAAAAGUGACUUGAAGGUUGUUUUUCAUACAACAAAGAACAAUAUCUCAUAUCUUUAAUUUCAGCCCCAAGGUUGAAAUAAAUGCGUUUUAACAAAACAGAUUUAUUGGGAAGUCAAUGCUGAGAAGGAAAUGUGUCUAUUAUCUAUUUAGGAGUUUACUGAAGAUAGUCACUUUUGUAAUUUAGGAAAUAAAGUCUUUCAGAAAUAUACAGAAUUAAUCUUACCUUUUGAGUUGUUAUAGAAGGAGAGAAUUCUUAUUUGUUCAAAAUUCAGGUGAAGUUUAAUACUGUUGCCUAAAGCCCACCGGCUUCAUUUUGUGUGACAUCACCAGGCAGCACAAUGCCACCAUAUGCAUCAUGACUCCCAUUCUUCAAAGAAAAAAAAUUAAAAUGGGUCAGUGGGAAAAGAAAAAUUUAAUGUCUUUUAAAUAGAGGAACUUGAGAAAACUCCAUAGUGCUCACCCACUUGGAGAUAUUUCCACGGAUUGGUAGCUAAGCAUUUAGACUAGAUAGGUUUAUUUCUACAUGUAAAAUGAUAUCUGUACCAAGAAAUAUUUGUGAAAUAGGAAAUCUCUAGAAAAUAAUGAAAAA